AUUGAACGCUGGCGGCAUGCUUUACACAUGCAAGUCGAACGGUAACAGGGUGCUUGCACCGCUGACGAGUGGCGAACGGGUGAGUAAUGCGUCGGAACGUGCCGAGUAGUGGGGGAUAACGCAGCGAAAGUUGUGCUAAUACCGCAUACGUACUGAGGUAGAAAGUGGGGGACCUUCGGGCCUCACGCUAUUCGAGCGGCCGACGUCUGAUUAGCUAGUAGGUGAGGUAAAGGCUCACCUAGGCGACGAUCAGUAGCGGGUCUGAGUGGAUGAUCCGCCACACUGGGACUGAGACACGGCCCAGACUCCUACGGGAGGCAGCAGUGGGGAAUUUUGGACAAUGGGCGAAAGCCUGAUCCAGCCAUGCCGCGUGUCUGAAGAAGGCCUUCGGGUUGUAAAGGACUUUUGUCAGGGAGGAAAUCCCUAGUGCUAAUAACACUGGGGGAUGACAGUACCUGAAGAAUUAGCACCGGCUAACUACGUGCCAGCAGCCGCCGUAA
Molecule: ribosomal RNA, 500 nt
Filed under: uncultured bacterium
Lineage: Bacteria
Description: partial 16S ribosomal RNA
Rfam family: Bacterial small subunit ribosomal RNA
Source: RNAcentral